Long non-coding RNA from Rhinolophus ferrumequinum (greater horseshoe bat), 431 nucleotides. RefSeq lists it as uncharacterized. The transcript is spliced from 3 exons. The record is from RefSeq and is a predicted model, not a curated record. NCBI's taxonomy places the organism in Eukaryota, Metazoa, Chordata, Mammalia, Chiroptera, Rhinolophidae.
UAUGAAUAGCUAGGAGGCAGGAGGAAUUAUUACACACUCCCCAAGCCUCACACCCCUUCCUGCUCCAGUGGACAUCCAGGAGGAGGCUAAUGUCUUCGGCAAGAUGGCUGCUACCACCACUAAGAGCGUGUCAGCCAGCUAAUAUGCAUCCCAGCCCCACAAUGCGGAGCAGGUCAUCGCAGAGCAUCACGGGAAGGUCGCUAAAUUAGACAUCAGAAACAUCUGCAGUCGGAUUCCUGUUCCAAAGAAAACUCAUUCUGACCUCAAAAUAUUAAAUCUAAUACAGACUCCCUUCUUUUUACUUCUGGUCUUAAACGGAGGAUGCCGCCACCAUCACAGAGCCAGAGCAGGGUGGAAGAAGACAUCCACUUGGCCAUCCCUCUGACUGAUACUGCCAGUUCUAUUGCAUCAAUGACAUGAAGAUUGACACA